RNAcentral lists this long non-coding RNA (4912 nucleotides) under Sus scrofa (pig). Its description in RNAcentral is "lncRNA (ENSSSCG00000056364.1)". Lineage: Eukaryota; Metazoa; Chordata; Mammalia; Artiodactyla; Suidae. The record is from RNAcentral.
GGGCGCUGAGCUCCUGACACGAACAGUGACAGUGACGGCAGCCCCACCACAGCUUUCACAGCCUGAGCCCCCAGGGACCGACUUCUGUCCCUGGAUUCUGAUCCUUCGGCCACACCUCUGAGGGGCCAGGGGGCGGCUGUGCCCUGGAGGUGCCACCUACCCCCCCCGCCGCCCCUGCCCACCCAGCGUCCCCUCAAUGCUCCCUCCCUGGGGGGCUUGUCUCUGUGUUCCCCAGUGCCCUGGAGAUGCAGCCAGAGGCCGGCGGGCUCCCUCUGCUGACAGCACGAGUGAGGAGGACCCGGGACCCCUGGCUCUAGACGGCAGCUUCCAGGCGCUGAAGAUGCUGCUGGUCUGCAGGCCCCCCUCGGAGAGGCAAGGCCUGAGGCUCUGUUGACUUUGACCCUUCAUAGCAAUCCUCGAACAGAGAGACACUGGCUCACAGAGGGUAGGCGACCUCUCCGGUGAGUGACCCCCUCAGGUGAGGGACAUGGGCAGGUAAGGGGUGUCCCUGUGUUCGUGUCGUCUCCAUGGUCACGGGGCAGGUGCGCGGUGGAGCCAGGACUUGAAUACGGAGCUCGAGAGGCCGGAGCUCCCGGUGGCCGCGACCGCCGCCUGGAACUGGAACUGCCCGGCGAGCUUCCUGUGGCUGUGACUCUGCCUUAAAGGCUGUGCUGCGUCAUUGCCUCAUUCAUGCGCUGAGAUGAGAAGACGGCCUCCCCUCCCCCAGGCCUCAGCCAGGAACGCUGCUCCCGUGGGAAACCGGCCCGACUGGACUCAGGGCCGAGGGAGCGUCCAAGCCGCCUCGGGAGGAGGGAGAGGCUGCGCCUCCGCCCCGGACGGUCUCACUGUCCGCGGCUCCGCGGACACCACGGCGCUGGCGGGGGCCUGAAAGUGCCGUCGUUCUGCCGUCAGAAUUCACCACCGCAGCUGGACGGGAAGAGCCACGCAGACCCCAAGGGGCGGCUUUGACCCUGAUGAGCGGUUUCAACCACGAGAAACCCCGACAGAGCCUCUCGCCCGGCCGGCGACACGCGCCCCGGCAAAGCUGCAGCCUCCCGCCUGGUUCCCGGCUUCGCAACCCCAUCGCGACCCGGCGAUGCCUCUCCGCAGAGUCCAACUUGGGAUCCACCCAGCAAGGUCACCCAGAGAGCAAAUACCAGUCCAGCUGUCCUUGACUUAGGGGAAAUUCGGAGAGAGGAGAUCACCAAAAUCAACAGACCACAGCGGCGGCAACAAAACCCUGUCAGAGUCAGAAAGGGAGUGAGAAUGGAGUAAAAUGUAUUUUAUAAUCUGCAUUCCAUUUAUGAAUUACGUUUAAGAACAAACAUGAGUGUGAGGUGACAGUGCAUGUCUAUGCCCAGGAAACAGUAUCUAAAAACGUUUUAAGUCCCAGCCUCGGUCCUAGUUUCCCAGACUCUGGGUGGGGGGGUUCAGGACUGAGCCCCUGCACCCACUCUGCAUUCAGCCCGGACCUGAGCUGCUUUGGGGAUUCCAGACGCCAUCUGCCCUCAGGACACUCUGAAAACCCAGAGCCCUUCUGCGCUGAUACCCUUCUGUCUCCUCAGGGGCCACAGGUCCUCAGAUGUGUGUCAGGAGCUGUGACCCAGCACUGGGUAGAGAAGGAUCUGGAACCAGCUGUUCCCUCUGCCUGCAGCAUCCUGUCACCCCAAACCCCAGGUAGCUCCCUCUCCUCCUGCUAACUUCAGCUCAAACAUCACCUCAUCAGCCAGGCCUUCUCUGGCCUCCUGACCUCCCUGGAACCCAGCCCUGGUGCCCCCUCCCGUUAUUCUGCUUUAUCGUCUCCAUGGCACUGCCCUGCAUCAGAUGUGGUUCAUAUUCACCCCGAGGUCUGUCUCUGUCCACUGUCCCACCGCAGUGUCUUCUCCAUGCGGACCUGGGCCACCUGCUCUGCUCAGGGCAGCGCCCCGGUGCCCAGAGGUGCAUCUUGCUGCGUGUUUGGGUGGAUGAAUGAGUGAAUGAAUGAGAUCAUGCCUUCUUGGCGGGGCCACACCGCUCCCACGGGGCCAGCUUGGUUCUGGGGGGUGAAGGGAUCUUAUUCUCUUUAUAUAAGAACACAGAUGUACCUUCAGUACUUAAACCAUUGUCUGGUAUUUCUGUGGUAUUAAAAUUUCAUGAGGGGAGAUUAAGAAAAACUCCAGAGUGGCUCCUUAGGGGGUGAUAAUGAAAUGGAGUUUGAGAGACACCGAAUUAGAGGAAAAUCCACGGAAACGACAGCCUCCCUCCGCCCCCCACGCUUUCCAAGGCGCGGGUGGGAACGCAGAGCAUCCGUUUAUGUGGAAGAGCCACAGGCGUUUUCCUGAUGGGAAGGAAGAGGAGCGGGUCGCUUUGCGUUGGGGAAACUGUUUUUUUUCCCGCCAAGGGACAGACUUACAAGGAUGAUAUUUACAUUUUCCUGAAGCCUCUCCUUUUCUCAUUGAUCAUUUCUCGGAGCCCGCGGCCCUUCCACAGCGCGUGGAAUGUUUGCACACAGCUAAUGAUCCUCUCACCAAACACGUCACAUCUCCACAAAAUGAGAAACGCGUUCAAGUUGCUGAGGCUGCUGAUUCCAGCCAUUAAUGUCACGCUGUGCGUCACAGGUGGGGUCGCGGGACCUCUCAUAUGACCCCCAGUUCUGCGACUCUUGGCGGAUGUAUUUCCCCCAAGCCCGAGCUCCUAAACUCGACCCCAGCCUGGGCUAAAUGCGGCUACCCUGGGCUCUGGGGGAGCCAGACCCAGGCCCGAGUCUCUCCUUCACUGAGCACGGUGAGCUGAGCCCAGAUCCCCGAGUAGGAGGACCCAAGAGAGCUGCGGGGACAUCCAGCUGGUCCAGCCACCUCCUUGCAUGUGGGCAGGUCACUGGAAGGUGUGGCUGAGACCGAGAGCCCUGCUCUGAGCUGAUGCCUGUCAUCCCAGGAGCCAUUAUGAGAAUCUCCGGGCCCCAGACUCCUGAGCGGCAGGGUCCUAAGAGUCACCGGCUUGACGCUGGCUCCUCGCAGGGGAGGAAGGUGGUUUCCAGCGAUGUCGUGGUGCUCGCCCAGUGCCACACAGCACAUGAGGGCAGAGCUGUGUCCAACAUCCCCCGAUCUCUCCACCUCCUGCAAAGACCCUCGAAGCUUCUCAGGAGCUUGGGUGUGAGCGGCCAAUAGGAUCUCCAACUUCCAGGCAGGAAUCCAGGACUAAUCCUGAUGGAUUAGCAAAGUCAUCCUAUUGCAGAGACCCCCGAUGCCCCACCUAGUUCAGACCCUUGGACUCUAGGACACUGAAAUUCUCUCCAAAAUGUGAACAAUGAAGACGUGCUUGGGAACCAGGAAAGGCUGAGCAGCUGAUGACCAUUUGGGUUUUGUGGCCUCCUUUUCAAAAGGAAAUAAAUACGGCAGAAAUGCUCUUCACAGAAGGGGCUUCAGGAUUUCAUAAAUAGACCAUAAAGAGGCAACAGAAGAACCAGCACAGCCCCAAAUCAACAUCUGUCCCCUGUCAUCUGGCUCUCCCUCCAUCAUCACCAUUCUCUCUCUCAAGAGCGAAACAAGCAUUCUUGUCUUUUGGAAAGAGAACCAUCUUCUCCCCGCCCAGACCUGCUUGGCAUCUUCCAAAGGUGGAGGAGCGUGCAUCCAAUAGGUGGGAUGGUGAGACCUGAUCUCCAUCAGUGGGCAGGGCUAAUAUUACACAUGGUUCUAAAAGUCAGGAUGCUUUUGGCAGCGAGUAACAGAACUUCCAACUAAAGGCGUCUUACACCUUUGUGGCCCAAAGCAGGGCCCAUGGAUCCAUAGCAUGAGCGUCUGCAGCCUGCAGGAAUUUGGAAUCUUAGGUUCUACCUCGGACUUACUGAAUAAGAGUCUGCACUUGCAGUAGAGCCCCAGGUGAUUCAUAUGCAUGUGAAAGUCUGCGAAGUACUAGUUUAAAUGAAAAAGGCUUUUUUUGUGUGUGUGUGUGAACUUUAAAAGAAGCCCACAAAAGACAAUUCCAAUUUGGUUAACUCAUGGGUACAAAGAUGUCAGGCCUCUAUCUCUGCAUCUUGGAGAUUUUUUUGGCUUCUGCCUCAGGGUUUCAAGAUGGCUGCUAUGGCUCCAACAUCAUCAAACCAAGUCCAAAACAAAUGAAAGGAAUAGGUGCUGGAGAAUUUUUCUUAUGUGUACCUUGGAAAAAGCUUUCCCAGAAAUCUCUAGUUGAUGUUCUUUGAGAUCCUAUUGGCUAGAAGUGGCUGGCAGGCCCACUCUUAAACCAGUCGCAAGUGAUGGGGAGUAGGUUUACUGGGAUCGGCCUUUGAACCACUGACCAAUCAAGUGUCUCCUCUUAGGGAUGGGAUAGGGCCACCUUCUCCAUCACAUCAUCAUGUACCAGAGACUUGAAACGUGCUGUCUUACAACCAAUGAAUCAGAUAUGAGUGCCGGCUUAUCUGGGAUUAGGAAACUGAAAGCCACAGGGUUUCUGUGUCCUGCACACAUUCAGAGCAAGCAGAAGCAGAGCCAGCUUUGUGCCAAGGGGCUUGAAUCCAGGGGCAGAGCUCAUCCCACGAUGCUCACACCAGGACCACGGUCCCCUUGAGUGAACUUGCAGGAAACAAAGGCAUUUCCCGUGUUCACUUGUGUCCAACGCUGCCUUGUCUACUUAGCACAAAACCUUUAUUAAGUUAGGGCUGCUUAGCAUAAUGCUCCUUUGCUCCGGCACCCCCGCAGUGAUCAGACUGAGUGCAUCUCGGAGUCUAGCAGGAUUCUUGACGCAUGGCGGGACCUCGUCAUGAUUUGCCUCAUUUAAUGGAAUUGCAUUAUGAUGCUUUGCACACUUCAUCACACCUAACAGUGUUUUGCACAGAGUUGUUUAACAAACGCUUGCAGAAUGACUAUAUGACCAAUCAAUUAGUUCCCUUUCAAUUGAGCACUUAACUUUGUCCCUACAAAUGCAUGAGAUAAAAUGG